GAUGAACGCUAGCGGCAGGCUUAACACAUGCAAGUCGAGGGGUAUAGUUCUUCGGAAUUAGAGACCGGCGCACGGGUGCGUAACGCGUAUGCAAUCUACCUUUCACAGAGGGAUAGCCCCAGAGAAAUUUGGAUUAAUACCUCAUAGUAUAGCAGUUUCGCAUGAAACCACUAUUAAAGUCACAACGGUGAAAGAUGAGCAUGCGUCCCAUUAGCUAGUUGGUAAGGUAACGGCUUACCAAGGCAACGAUGGGUAGGGGUCCUGAGAGGGAGAUCCCCCACACUGGUACUGAGACACGGACCAGACUCCUACGGGAGGCAGCAGUGAGGAAUAUUGGACAAUGGGCGCAAGCCUGAUCCAGCCAUGCCGCGUGCAGGAUGACGGUCCUAUGGAUUGUAAACUGCUUUUAUACAGGAAGAAACACUACUUCGUGAAGUAGCUUGACGGUACUGUAAGAAUAAGGAUCGGCU
This 470-nucleotide ribosomal RNA is filed under the name uncultured bacterium. RNAcentral describes it as "bacterial SSU rRNA". It matches the Rfam family "Bacterial small subunit ribosomal RNA", at positions 28 to 498 of the family's 1533-position model. The record is from RNAcentral.